This 495-nucleotide ribosomal RNA is filed under the name uncultured bacterium. RNAcentral's name for it is "partial 16S ribosomal RNA". It matches the Rfam family "Bacterial small subunit ribosomal RNA", at positions 29 to 506 of the family's 1533-position model. The record is from RNAcentral.
AUGAACGCUGGCGGCGUGCCUAAUACAUGCAAGUCGCGCGAACAGACGAGGAGCUUGCUCCUCUGACGUUAGCGGCGGACGGGUGAGUAACACGUGGAUAACCUACCUAUAAGACUGGGAUAACUUCGGGAAACCGGAGCUAAUACCGGAUAAUAUAUUGAACCGCAUGGUUCAAUAGUGAAAGACGGUUUUGCUGUCACUUAUAGAUGGAUCCGCGCCGCAUUAGCUAGUUGGUAAGGUAACGGCUUACCAAGGCAACGAUGCGUAGCCGACCUGAGAGGGUGAUCGGCCACACUGGAACUGAGACACGGUCCAGACUCCUACGGGAGGCAGCAGUAGGGAAUCUUCCGCAAUGGGCGAAAGCCUGACGGAGCAACGCCGCGUGAGUGAUGAAGGUCUUCGGAUCGUAAAACUCUGUUAUUAGGGAAGAACAAAUGUGUAAGUAACUAUGCACGUCUUGACGGGACCUAAUCAGAAAGCCACGGCUAACUACGU